Cyprinus carpio carpio is the source of this 1818-nucleotide long non-coding RNA. Lineage: Eukaryota; Metazoa; Chordata; Actinopteri; Cypriniformes; Cyprinidae. The record is from Ensembl.
CUCACUGGUGAGAGGUUGACUCUCAACACUCACACUGCCCUCUCCCCCAAUGUGAGUGAUCUACCCUGAUCAUCGCUGGUCUGGGCAUGCCCUGGGCAACAACCCUGUGACACUGCUUACGUUGGUGCCCAAACUCGAAACAAUCAAGGCAUCUUUUUUCUUUCAUGCAGUGUGAGCAAGCUAAAUGGGAUCGGUCUCCACACACUGCACAUGGAGAAGCUCAAUACCACGGUGACGUUUGAGGCUUUGUUUCUGAAACAGGUAAGGUUGUGUGCUCCAACACCGUUUCUAACAUUUUCAGCAUGUGCUCCAAAGUGCCCAAUUCUGCAACUUCGUUUGCUUUAGGGUUUCUGACAAACAACAUUGCAAACUUUGAGCUCAUGUUUUCCAUCUUGCCACCUUAUCUUUCCAGGUGAGUGUCUGCUAGCUCAGCUGCCUCAUACAACCUGACCCAAUAAUCAAUAGGGCGUUCACUUUUUUCCUGCUGUGUCACAUAAAAGUCGGCCAAUGGCUGGCACGAGCCAGGGCUCUCACUAAAAUAGCAUUGCAGUACCUCAUAGACAACUUCAGGACAGAGUACAGCAACAGGGCCACUUUUCAGCUUAACUUUGACAAUGCUCUUUGCCUGGCCACAGAGAUGAUUCAAUUUUUCUUCCACACUGUCGGCUUCGCUGCAACCUUUUUGGACUUUGUGGAGUUUUGUGACCUUAGGGAGCAUGAUGGAUUGUAGCGUGAUAGAAGACAAGUUAGAUUCAUCAGGGGAACAGAGCAACAAUGGGAACAUUCUGGGCCAAUCCCUCCUGAUUAAGCAGAGAUGGCACAGUAUCAGGGGCUUAAAGGAGAGAAAAAAGACAAUGGAUUCUAUAGAACAUAUACAUCCUUUCUUUAUGCACCUCACUUAUUUUAACACUGUCAUGAUACAUUCUUGGUUAUUUAAAAACUACAUUGACUUGAGAUUUGUUUUAUUAGAACUGAAUUCACACAUUUAUCAACACAUAUUGCUCGGCACAGGCUACUUCACUGUAAACAAAACCAGUUGGUUGUAUUCUGUCAAUCAUCUUUGUGUUGCCAGUCAUCUGUCAAAAAAACAAAAAAUGCAAUGUUGCUUGAUGGUGAAAAGAGAUGUCUAGCUUGUAUAUCUUAAAACUGGGAAAGUUAAGAUGACAAUACAACUCCAUCGCCUUUUUUGCUUCACAUCCAGGGAGUUUUCAAGACCUGUUUUAUAUCAACAUGCUUUGUUUAAUCUGGAGGAAAGGCAGAUGGUGCCUCUCAAUUAAUAUUUAAUCAGCGCAUGAACAUUCACUGGUAUCUGUUUUCUGAAGGAAUUAAGAUUGCGACUACAUCCUUGUCUGCAGCAGUGACACAAGAACAUUAAAUUGUUUAACCUUCAUAUCAGCUUUAACUUCUCUUGAUUUUGUAACUAAUAAGAGCAGAUUGAAUACAUACAUCCAUAUUUGUGUACUGUUUUUGAUCCUUAUAUGAAGAAUAUGAUUUUACAUGUAUUAACGUGUAGGAUGUAAGUCAGAAAGGAAAGCUUUAUCUGUUUUAUGUGGAAAGAUUCAGUCAUCCUUUCAUCUUCUUUCAACACAAAUAAAUACAUAAUGUCACAUGCAUCUACACACAUUGUAAACUGAAUGAAUAAUUAUGAAGCUCAUAUUGAUAAAUCUUGGUUUAAUUAAACAUGAUAUCCACAGAUACAGUUGAUAGAAAGGUCGUGCAUUUCAUUGAAACCGUCCUACCUAAUACAGUAUAUUCUGAGUACGUUCAUUGACAAAAAAAAUACAAUCCCACAUAAUCUGCCGGCAUUUUGAAAUCUAU